AGAGUUUGAUCCUGGCUCAAAAUCAACGCUGGCGGCGUGCCUCAGACAUGCAAGUCGAACGCGAAAGGUUCCUUCGGGGACCGAGUAGAGUGGCGUCCGGGUGAGUAACACGUGGGUAAUCUACCUUCGGGUGGGGAAUAACGACCGGAAACGGUCGCUAAUACCGCAUAAUGCAGCGGCACCUAAUGGUGACAGUUGUUAAAGCGGGGGAUCGCAAGACCUCGCGCCUGAAGAGGAGCCCGCGGCGGAUUAGCUAGUUGGCAGGGUAACGGCCUACCAAGGCGACGAUCCGUAGCCGGCCUGAGAGGGCGGUCGGCCACACUGGCACUGACAUACGGGCCAGGCUCCUACGGGAGGCAGCAGUCGGGUAUUUUGGGCAAUGGGCGAAAGCCUGACCCAGCAACGCCGCGUGAAGGAUGAAGCUUUUUCGGAGUGUGAACUUCAUAAGAGUGGGACGAAUGAGGGGGGGGGAUUAUACCCCCCCAUUGAUGACGGUACCAU
Molecule: ribosomal RNA, 501 nt
Filed under: uncultured bacterium
Lineage: Bacteria
Description: bacterial SSU rRNA
Rfam family: Bacterial small subunit ribosomal RNA
Source: RNAcentral